This is a long non-coding RNA of Cyprinus carpio (common carp), 452 nucleotides long. RefSeq lists it as uncharacterized. The transcript is spliced from 3 exons. Lineage: Eukaryota; Metazoa; Chordata; Actinopteri; Cypriniformes; Cyprinidae. The record is from RefSeq and is a predicted model, not a curated record.
CUCACUCUAAGUUUAGCUGCCUACAAUAACCAUAUAUCCAGAAAGUCUAAUUGCAAAUAAUUCAUUGUUACUUAAUACUAAAUUAAAUUACUCUCUGGAAAACUCUCGUAUCAAACCGCGGACUUGCGCUCUCUUGUUUAAGACAAACGCAAAUGAGGAUUGAAAAACGUAGGCCCUGUUCUCCUGCUGUGUAAACUCUCAAGGAGGGACACUGUAUUCAGCGUGGUGACUGACAGCAGAGGUGAAGGAAGCCUGCAGUGAAUAACAGAGAAGGAAAAUGAACACCCACACAUGAUGGGUCCUCAGGACAUCAGACAGCUGCUAUUAUGUCUGGAGGAUGAAAUAUUAAAGAAGAGCAGAAAAAGAGAUCAAGGUAUUUUUUGUACUCUUCAAAUAAAGCACACACACUUCUUUUUUUUUCUUGAUGUGCUAAAUUUUUACUGGAGGUUCCU